UGAGGAAUAUUGGUCAAUGGACGCAAGUCUGAACCAGCCAAGUAGCGUGCAGGAUGACGGCCCUAUGGGUUGUAAACUGCUUUUAUAUGGGGAUAAAGUGGGGAACGUGUUCCCUUUUGCAGGUACCAUAUGAAUAAGGACCGGCUAAUUCCGUGCCAGCAGCCGCGGUAAUACGGAAGGUUCGGGCGUUAUCCGGAUUUAUUGGGUUUAAAGGGAGCGUAGGCCGUUUGGUAAGCGUGUUGUGAAAUGUAGGAGCUCAACUUCUAGAUUGCAGCGCGAACUGGCAGACUUGAGUGCGCACAACGUAGGCGGAAUUCAUGGUGUAGCGGUGAAAUGCUUAGAUAUCAUGACGAACUCCGAUUGCGAAGGCAGCUUACGGGAGCGCAACUGACGCUUAAGCUCGAAGGUGCGGGUAUCGAACAGG
RNAcentral lists this ribosomal RNA (424 nucleotides) under Verrucomicrobiota bacterium. Its description in RNAcentral is "Verrucomicrobia bacterium partial 16S ribosomal RNA". It matches the Rfam family "Bacterial small subunit ribosomal RNA", at positions 355 to 776 of the family's 1533-position model. Lineage: Bacteria; Pseudomonadati; Verrucomicrobiota. The record is from RNAcentral.